Mycena epipterygia is the source of this 83-nucleotide non-coding RNA. Lineage: Eukaryota; Fungi; Basidiomycota; Agaricomycetes; Agaricales; Mycenaceae. The record is from the annotation of a GenBank genome assembly.
UCGGAUGUGGUGCACGGUGCACGCCCUCUUCCAGCGUUCCAGACAGUUUGUGGGAACCCUGGGUUCGACUCCCAGCGUCCGAA